AUUUGUACUCAAUCUCCUCUUUCUUUUUCUUUCUCUCCCUCUCGUUGGAUUUCUUCACCACCAUAUUUUUUUUUCCUUUUCCAUAUCACUAUUUCUCUCCUUCGUCGGGUAUCACCACCCAGUCUCACUACUCCGACCCACCAGACCACCACCACAACUAUCAAAAUCAUCAUCACCAUCAAUACUAAAUUUCGCUAAUUCCGACCCACCACCUUCAUCAAUAUUUACCGCCACCCCCACCAAGCUUGAACCACCGUCAUCAACACCAACACCACCGUUACCACAUCUUCCCCUCUUUCCCCAACUGAUCUUAUUUUUACACCUUCUUUAUCUCCUCCGACAUCGGGUCGAGCUUCUUCGACAACAACUCUAUUUUAUGUCCAUCGCCGUUCAUAAUUCUUAAUUUGCCUCCAUCGCCAUAUAUGCUUAAUUUGUCUAUCUAUCUAUUUGUUUAUCUAUAGAGGUGAGUAUUUAGAAUCUUUUUUCUUGUAGGAUUAAUAAUUGAUUAUAAAAUUUCUUUAGUUAUCAUAUUAUACAAUAAGAUUGUAUAAAUUCAUGAAUCUUUUUUAUUAUAAGGA
RNAcentral lists this long non-coding RNA (578 nucleotides) under Arabidopsis lyrata. Its description in RNAcentral is "long non-coding RNA (ALYR_LNC003245)". The record is from RNAcentral. Lineage: Eukaryota; Viridiplantae; Streptophyta; Magnoliopsida; Brassicales; Brassicaceae.